AAUAGAUACCCUGGUAGUCCACGCCGUAAACGAUGAGUGCUAAGUGUUAGGGGGGUUUUCCACCCCUUAGUGCUGCAGCUAACGCAUUAAGCACUCCGCCUGGGGAGUACGGUCGCAAGACUGAAACUCAAAGGAAUUGACGGGGGCCCGCACAAGCGGUGGAGCAUGUGGUUUAAUUCGAAGCAACGCGAAGAACCUUACCAGGUCUUGACAUCCCGCUGACCGUUAUGGAGACAUAGCCUUCCCUUCGGGGACAGCGGUGACAGGUGGUGCAUGGUUGUCGUCAGCUCGUGUCGUGAGAUGUUGGGUUAAGUCCCGCAACGAGCGCAACCCUUGUCCUUAGUUGCCAUCAUUCAGUUGGGCACUCUAAGGAGACUGCCGUACAAAUACGGAGGAAGGUGGGGAUGACGUCAAAUCAUCAUGCCCCUUAUGACCUGGGCUACACACGUGCUACAAUGGACGGUACAAACGGUCGCGAAGUCGCGAGACGGAGCCAAUCCGAAAAAACCGUUCUCAGUUCGGAUUGCAGGCUGC
Molecule: ribosomal RNA, 534 nt
Filed under: uncultured bacterium
Lineage: Bacteria
Description: bacterial SSU rRNA
Rfam family: Bacterial small subunit ribosomal RNA
Source: RNAcentral